RNAcentral lists this ribosomal RNA (253 nucleotides) under uncultured bacterium. RNAcentral's name for it is "partial 16S ribosomal RNA". It matches the Rfam family "Bacterial small subunit ribosomal RNA", at positions 524 to 776 of the family's 1533-position model. The record is from RNAcentral.
UACGUAGGGGGCAAGCGUUGUCCGGAAUUAUUGGGCGUAAAGAGCUCGUAGGCGGCCUGUUGCGUCCGCUGUGAAAUCCCGGGGCUCAACCCCGGGCCUGCAGUGGAUACGGGCUGGCUAGAGGCAGGCAGGGGAGAACGGAAUUCCUGGUGUAGCGGUGAAAUGCGCAGAUAUCAGGAGGAACACCGGUGGCGAAGGCGGUUCUCUGGGCCUGUACUGACGCUGAGGAGCGAAAGCGUGGGGAGCAAACAGG